RNAcentral lists this ribosomal RNA (253 nucleotides) under uncultured bacterium. RNAcentral's name for it is "partial 16S ribosomal RNA". It matches the Rfam family "Bacterial small subunit ribosomal RNA", at positions 524 to 776 of the family's 1533-position model. The record is from RNAcentral.
UACAGGGGGGGCAAGCGUUGUUCGGAAUUACUGGGCGUAAAGGGCUCGUAGGUGGCCAACUAAGUCAGACGUGAAAUCCCUCAGCUUAACUGGGGAACUGCGUCUGAUACUGGAUGGCUUGAGAUUGGGAGAGGGAUGCGGAAUUCCAGGUGUAGCGGUGAAAUGCGUAGAUAUCUGGAGGAACACCGGUGGCGAAGGCGGCAUCCUGGACCAACACUGACACUGAGGAGCGAAAGCCAGGGGAGCAAACGGG